GAUGAACGCUGGCGGCGUGCUUAACACAUGCAAGUCGAGCGAACAGACGAGGAGCUUGUUCCUUUGACGUUAGCGGCGCACGGGUGAGUAACAUGUGUAUAACCUACUUAUAAGACUGGGAUAACCUCGGGAAACCGGAGCUAAUACCGGAUAAUAUACUGAACCGCAUGGUUCAUUAGUGAAAGUCGGCUUUGCUGUCUCUUAUAGAUGGAUCCCGGCCGCAUUGGAUAGUUGGUAAGGUAACGGCCUAUCAAGGCAACGAUGCGUAGGCGAAGUGAGAGGGUGGUAGCCCACCCGGGAACUGGAACACGGACAAGACGCCUGCGGGAGGGAGCAGUCGGGUAUCGUCCGCAAUAGGCGGAAACAUGGCGGAGCGGCGGCGAGUGAGUGGUGACAAUGUUCGGAUCGGAAAGCUCUGUUUUUGGGGAAAAACAAAUGUGGAAGUAGCUGUGCACGUAUUGACGGUACCUGAUCAAAAAGCAACGGCUAACUACGUG
This 497-nucleotide ribosomal RNA is filed under the name uncultured bacterium. Its description in RNAcentral is "partial 16S ribosomal RNA". It matches the Rfam family "Bacterial small subunit ribosomal RNA", at positions 28 to 507 of the family's 1533-position model. The record is from RNAcentral.